CCUGCCAGGCAGGAUGGCCGGCUCCUCCAUGAACGGCUCAUAAAAAUUCACCUCGUUCAUCUUGAGGGAGAGAUGUUUGGCUACCUAAAACAUACAGCGUGCCAGGAUUUCAUUAUGUUUAGCAGUAGCCAAUGAGGCGGAUGUCUUCCUCCAUUCGCUCGAAGGCUCGCAGCUCCAUGGCGUUGUUGAUCAUUUCCACUGGAUCCUCCAGUACCUAAGGGGGUUGAUAGAAUACAGGAACUCCACCAGUGUGUCUGAUGAGAGCUCCCCAUCAAACUCAAUGACGCGGUCGUCCUUGAAGACGUACAAGCUGCCCACCUCUUCCAGACCUGAUUAAACAGCAGGAGUACAGUGUGUAACUUUAAGAGCUCUAAUCUGAGGCAUGCAGAGCAAUGUAAGUGAUGCUUUGUAGUGAUGAAGACACAUGAGUCAUACCCAGUUUUCUGGCUACUUUUGCGCCCUUUUGGGAGUCCACCAUUCCAAAACCGAUGUCUUUGUUCUCCAGGACCUGAGCUGUGAGCUGGGUGUUCACACAGACAAAUGUUAGAUGGCAUGAGCCAGAAAUGUAGGUGUUGUCUUGGACUAAAAUCUAAACUCAAGCAGCCUAAUGUAAUCAGUUUUUUCAUCAAAGACAAAAUGUUUGUUAGCCACUGCUGUUGAUUUCCAGGAAAUUAUGAUUUUUUGAGUCCAUUGCUCAGCGUGGGAUCGAAACACUUUAUGCCAACACCCUCUACUCUGCUCUCUGCAUUUAGCUUAGCGCUGUUUUCUGUAUUUGAGCUGGCAUCCACAGCUGCUGCUGUCUUUGUCAAUACAUCUUUUCAUUACCGAGGUGUGUGCCCCCUGUGGAGUCUUCUUGUUAGAGGGAAGCCGUGAGUCAGGACUGCUUGCCUUUCAGCUCAUGGUUCUUGUGGAAGGAAAACAGAUUUAGAAAUACCAGACAAGACUUGGGUUCUGUUAAACCAAGUGUGUUUCUGCUUUUAAAACGGUGCAUGAAACACGACAGGAAUGCAAAAGCGCAAAAGGAAGUAAAGGUGGUGAAUACCAACAAAUUCAAGGUGUGAAGACUCCCCUUUUCUCAUACGUUUGGCUAAUAAAUAAGAGGGAAAAGGGUGCAGGAGGAGUACACCCAUUUAUUUCUAGUUCACAGCCAGAUAGUAAAGAGUUUUGGGAGUGAGCUAAAUUUAACAGAAUGGCCUAGAAACAAUCCCUGGAUGCUUGUGAACCACAGAGGGAGGCAGUAAUAGGAUUAGAAUCAUUGUUUGCCAGCUAAGAGUGCAUGCAGGUAAAGCAGAGCUGCCCAUCAAGCUGUUACAGUGUGACAGCCAUGAAUCCUACUUCACCUUAUGGUUAAGCAGACAGUUUGCACAUCAAGGAGACAGAGGAGGAAUGAGGCAUUCAGUGUGUCGGGGAUCACUGACGAUGACUUGUUAUGACAGGUUAGAGUCAAAAGAACACGGCGGUGAAGCUGUGGGUUUAACCCGGAGCGAUUUGAGCUGCAGCUUAUUGAGACAUCUUUACGUUAUCAGUGACAUCAGAUAUACCACAGCCCCUUAUAUCACAAUAGAUACGACUCUGGCUUUUUUUCUUUCAUCCGUAAUGAUGGCAUUGGCAGGACUCAGGCAUUGUGUACCCGAGGAUGUCAGUGGCAAUGUGACUGGAAAAGUAAAGACUUGUAUGUUUAUGGAGUUAUUGUGUUGAUUUUUUGGUAACUGGUCAGUUGUUUAUGCUGUUUAGCAGGGAGCAAGAGUCUACAGCUUUGUGAGGCUGCACAGCUGUGCUUUGAACUAAAUGCUAAUAUGCUCACAAUGCAGAGGUUUAGCAGGCAGAUUUACCACGUUCACUGUGUUGGAUUAGCAUGCAAACAUGUCCCAAUGAGGGCUAAACACAGAGCACAGCUGAGGCUGAUGGGGACGUCAUUAGUUUUGCGAGCUGAAAUGAUUAAAAUGUUUAUAAUUAAUCAGCAAUUAGUUGGAUCUAAGAUGCCACCAGCUUCUUCAGUGUGAGAAUUUGCUGCUUUUUUUGUUUUAUAUCAUUUUCUACUCAUAUCAUUUUUAAUUUGUAAACUGUUGCUCUUCUUUGUCACACGGUGUGUGUAAAAAAUUGAAUAUCUUAAUUAUUUAAUAGUCAUGAAUAAAG
Scatophagus argus is the source of this 2136-nucleotide long non-coding RNA. RefSeq lists it as uncharacterized. The transcript is spliced from 3 exons. NCBI's taxonomy places the organism in Eukaryota, Metazoa, Chordata, Actinopteri, Scatophagidae. The record is from RefSeq and is a predicted model, not a curated record.